Molecule: ribosomal RNA, 90 nt
Filed under: Masdevallia scandens
Lineage: Eukaryota; Viridiplantae; Streptophyta; Magnoliopsida; Asparagales; Orchidaceae
Description: 5.8S ribosomal RNA
Rfam family: 5.8S ribosomal RNA
About the family: 5.8S ribosomal RNA (5.8S rRNA) is a component of the large subunit of the eukaryotic ribosome. It is transcribed by RNA polymerase I as part of the 45S precursor that also contains 18S and 28S rRNA.
Source: RNAcentral
GACUCUCGACAAUGGAUAUCUCGGCUCUCGCAUCGAUGAAGAGCGCAGCGAAAUGCGAUACGUGGUGCGAAUUGCAGAAUCCCGCGAACC